Molecule: ribosomal RNA, 80 nt
Filed under: Streptococcus suis
Lineage: Bacteria; Bacillati; Bacillota; Bacilli; Lactobacillales; Streptococcaceae
Description: partial 23S ribosomal RNA
Rfam family: Bacterial large subunit ribosomal RNA
Source: RNAcentral
GGUUAAGUUAAUAAGGGCGCACGGUGGAUGCCUUGGCACUAGAAGCCGAUGAAGGACGUGACUAACGACGAAAUGCCUUG